AUGGCCGCGCUCCGCCUCCCCGCCCCGCCGACGGCGAGGUGGGCCCCGCCGCCGCCGUCCUCCGCGCGGUGGCAGCACCCCCCGUGCCGGGGCGGCGCCAGGCGUCCCGCGGCGUUGCGGGCCGGCGGGGAGGAGGGCCCGGGCCCGGAAGAGCCGCCGGUGAGGACGCUCCUCAUCGACAACUACGACAGCUACACCUACAACAUCUUCCAGGAGCUCUCCGUCGUCAACGGCGUGCCGCCUGUGGUGGUGCGCAACGACGAGUGGGCGUGGAGGGAUGUUUACAAUUGGGUGUACAAGAAGAGGGCCUUUGACAACAUCGUGAUCUCGCCUGGCCCUGGAUCUCCGUCGUGUCCUACCGACAUAGGUGUAUGUCUGCGGAUACUUUGCGAGUGCGGAGAUAUACCCAUUCUAGGUGUCUGCCUUGGCCACCAGGCCUUGGGAUUAGUUCAUGGCGCUAAGAUUGUUCACGCUCCUGAAGCUAUACAUGGGCGACUUAGUGAAAUUGAGCAUAAUGGAUGCUACCUCUUUAAUCACAUCCCAUCAGGUAUAAACUCUGGAUUCAAGGUAGUGCGCUACCAUUCACUUGUAAUAGAAGCAAGCUCACUGCCUGAGGAUCUUGUAUCAAUAGCAUGGACGGCUUCUCCCAAAAUGCUAUCUUUCCUUGAUAGUGAUCAGCCUGAUAAUACUCCCUUCUGGGGAUCAUUGAAUAACUUAUCCAUAACUGACCCUUCAGAGCGCAUUAACAAUGGUGAAGUGCCAAUUACCAUAAACAAUACUAGUAAGCCGGACGGCCACAAGAUUGUCAUGGGCAUCAAGCAUUCCAGCAUGCCUCAUUAUGGAGUGCAGUUCCAUCCAGAGAGUGUUGCUACACAUUAUGGAAGACAGAUUUUUCAAAACUUUAAGAGGAUAACAACUGAUUUUGGAUCACAAUCAUCGUUGUUUCAGGAAAGAAAGGUUCACAGUAUUGGUAAACUGGAAAGCCCUCAAGUCAAUUCUGCAGAUCAAUGCAAUUAUGUCCCGAAGGGCUUGUCACACACUGAAGGACUGGAGCUUGGCGAUUCUGUUGGGGUUCACAUGCUUGCAGAGAGAAAUAUCAAGAAAAAAUAUCUACGAUUGAGAUGGAAGAGGAUUGAUAACUUCCUCAGCCGCACAAAUGGCUCUGAAGACAUUUUCUCGGAGCUUUUUGGUCAUCAAAAUGCCGAAGAUACAUUUUGGCUGGAUAGCUCAUCAGUUGAUCAGAACAGGGCACGCUUUUCAUUUAUGGGUGGUAAGGGUGGACCUUUGUGGAAGCAAAUGACAUUUCACCUCUCCAAUCAAAGGGCCAACUGUGGAGGAACCAUUACUAUUCGAGGUGCUCAUGGAUCUGCUGUGAAAAACUCUCUCAAAGAUGGCUUCUUGGAAUUCCUUCACAAGGAGAUCCAGUCCAUUAAAUACAAUGAAGAGGAUUUUGAAGGGCUGCCAUUUGACUUCCAUGGUGGAUUUGUUGGAUAUCUAGGGUAUGGUCUUAAGGUUGAAUGUGAUGCAUCAUCUAACAAAGCUAAAUCAAGUACUCCUGAUGCAUGCUUUUUCUUUGCUGAUAACCUUGUGGCAAUCGAUCACAACAAUGGUGAUGUAUAUAUUCUGUCAUUAUAUGACGAAUAUUCUUUAAGUAACGGAAAUGGAAUGCACCAUAAUACAACACAUACUUCAUGGUUGCUGGAGACUGAGAAGAGGCUUCUCAGGAUGGCUGCUAUGUCACCAGGACUACCGAUUAAUGGAAAAUCACUCAUUGGAUCAUCCAAUGUGAAUAAGCAAAGUUUUGUCGUAGAAAAAUCAAAGGAUCAAUACAUUAAGGAUGUUCGAAGUUGCCUGGAUUAUAUCAGAGACGGAGAAAGCUACGAGUUAUGCCUGACCACUCGGAUGAGGAGAGGGAUAGAGUAUAUAAAUGCUCUUCAACUGUACCUUCAAUUGAGAAAGCAAAAUCCAGCUCCCUAUGCAGCCUGGCUUAACUUCUCCUCAGAAAACCUGAGUAUAUGCUGCUCUUCUCCUGAACGGUUUCUGCGGCUAGAUCAAAAUGCAGUUCUGGAGGCAAAACCAAUCAAAGGUACUAUAGCACGUGGCAGAACACCCGAGGAAGAUGAAUGCCUACGUUUGCAACUGAAAUACAGUGAAAAGGAUCAGGCUGAGAACUUGAUGAUUGUUGAUCUCUUAAGAAACGACCUGGGCAAGGUCUGUGAGCCCGGAAGCGUGCACGUUCCUCGCCUCAUGGACGUCGAGUCAUACAAGUCAGUCCACACCAUGGUGAGCACCAUCCGCGGGACAAAGAAGCCUGACCUAAGCCCCGUCGACUGCAUCAAAGCCGCCUUUCCAGGAGGCUCGAUGACGGGCGCCCCAAAGGUGAGGUCGAUGGAGAUCCUCGACGCACUCGAGAGCAGCCCGAGGGGCAUCUACUCAGGGUCGAUCGGGUUCUUCUCGUACAACCGCACGUUCGACCUGAACAUCGUGAUCAGGACGGUGGUGCUGCAUGACGGGGAGGCCUCGGUGGGGGCGGGCGGGGCGAUUGUGGCUCUGUCGGACCCUGAGGCGGAGUAUGCCGAGAUGAUGCUCAAGGCUAGGACACCGACGAGGGUUGUCGAGGAGUGCAGCCAACAGGCCGCGGCGCACAGCAGUCCGGACCGAUCGGAUUCGGUGCGGACAACUAUAAGUUAG
RNAcentral lists this ribosomal RNA (2691 nucleotides) under Triticum aestivum (bread wheat). RNAcentral's name for it is "partial small subunit ribosomal RNA". The record is from RNAcentral. Lineage: Eukaryota; Viridiplantae; Streptophyta; Magnoliopsida; Poales; Poaceae.